Non-coding RNA from Cherax quadricarinatus, 655 nucleotides. NCBI's taxonomy places the organism in Eukaryota, Metazoa, Arthropoda, Malacostraca, Decapoda, Parastacidae. The record is from RefSeq and is a predicted model, not a curated record.
GAAAAAGUUAUUUUUUCGUCGCCUUGAAACUUGAAACAGUGGUGGCUCCAACUUAGAAGAAGGUUAAAAUUGUUGCUAGAGUGUAUGGACGACAAUUUGCCUUCUUUGUUAAUGAUGUAUUAUUUUCCAGGAAAUAUGUUGAAUAAUCCUCAACUGAACGACUUCUAUCGUUGUUGGCUGAUGUAUCGUUGUUGGCUGAUGUAUCGUAUUCGAGGGAUAAGAGACUAACUAGCUAAGAACUGCAUUAGCCAUCGGCCACUACCCACCCUUCAUUUGCUGUCAUUCUACCUUCAGACUGGAAGACAGACUGGAAGACCAUAGGGAUGCAGCACUCCGUAGAGGACAUGUCAAAUGCCUUGAUUGUAUUAUCAAGAGGCAUAACACAAAGAGAUGCGAUGAACAGUACAAGAAACCUACCACAAGUUUACAGUAGCGUUUCACAGGAAGGAUUAAAUCACCCGAAAGAUUGGGAGGCUAAACGUGAAAGACAUUCGUAAAGAAAGCGUUUUGUCACGGAAACAUUUUUUGGGACUUUUUAUCUGGUAGAGUGAGAGAGGAGAUACACAAAUAACCCGCACAUAGAAGAGAGGCGCUUACGACGACUUUUCGGUCCGACUUGGACCAUUUACAAAUUCACACUGAUGAAAAGGAGAGA